AAACAAUUACAGCAAUUCAAAUAUAAGAGAGUAAGUUGAUGGAAAAUACCUGCAAUUGUAUAAAAAUUGAAAUGAACAACUACAGAAGAUAAAGUAAUAAUUUGAUCGUGUAUUGCUAUCAGCCUAAGCCACAAGGCUUACCUCACACAGAAGAUACUAGGUGACCCUUUUUCUCAUUCUAUAACAGAAAACUUAGAUAAUAAACUCUCUCUACACUCUCCCAUUUUAUAUCAACUUACUCAUGCUUCUCCCUUCCCUGUGCCAGCUCAACACCUUUCAUUCCCUUGUGUUUUCUAGUGUACACUCUCCAAAACUUGAGCUUGUUUUCCUCAGAACCCAAUACAUCAGGGCCCGAUGCUGCAUCUACCACAUUCCUAUCAUCAUUCAAUUACUUGAAUCUAAAAAUUAAAUACAUAGAUUUUCCUACCUGGUCUAAGCCUCAAAAUGAGUCAAAUAAGUAAUCUGAGCAACAUGUAAGUUGGGGAUAAAAACUGAGAUUCUAAUUUAUUGGUUACAUCACUAUUUGCAUCACUACCAAAUACCCAUUCCAAAGAAAGAAUAAUAUACCACACAAAGGGAAGUACUGGUGUGUGGUGGAAGAAGGAGCAUAUCAAAUGGAAUUGGAAGCAAUUUUAUUUCUCCUACGUCUUAUGCCUGCAAUGUAGCAAACAUGACUUAUGAACCAGUUUCAGCCACUGAUCAUGCAAGUUACGUUUUUAGCACCUAUUGGGAUAAAUUUAAAAGUAAUAGAGCCACUUGCUAAUAAUUUCACUCUUUAGGUUAUACAUACAAUUUCAUAAAGUAAUAAUUUGAGAUUUCCUUUCAAUCAAUAACUUAAUGUAAUUCUUCACAAAACAGGUUGAGCUUCUUGCCGAUUUUAAUUAUCUAGAGACCAUUGUUGUCAGAGCAUCAAUGCAAGGAUUCUUAAGCUUCGACUUUCAAUUAUCUUUAAAUUUCAAGAGAUAUCGUCAACGUCAUUUAAAUAUUCUAUGUUAUUACAUGGCUAUGUCAUUCUCUCUUAGAUUGAAUUUGUAGCACUAACCAAAGUGGGGGAUAAAGAGGAUCACAAAAGAAACAGAGAGACAGAGAUAGCAGCGGAAAAUAUGAUUAAUGAGAUCACUCAAAAACCAUUAAAACCACGCCUUAUGUCACAAGCUUGUAUCUAAACCAAGCAAUUUUCCCACAAAUUCACAAAAAUAAAGGAUUUCAUAACAAGUAGAUACUACAAAUUUCUUAAUUCAUAACUCAUUUUCAUAAAUGAAUUUUUUUUUCUCUUAAACGAAUCUUAAAAGGAAACGAAGGGGUUCAACAACAUAUUUUUGCAAUCAUGGAUAUCAUUCACUCUAAAGAAAAUUUUCAAAUUACCAAGUUCCAACAUUCAACAACAGUAUAAAAGGAACCAUCAACUUCGAAUUAAAUUAUCUCCUUUCUUUUCUUCAUGAAUUUGUAAAAGAUGAAUACAAUGGUAUAGGAACCGUAGCAGAUGGAUACAUUACCUGGAGUGUACGAGAACGAUAACUGUUUUCGAGAUGGAGAAUGAGAGACAUGAUACAGAGAGAUCGUUGCGAGUGAUGGAGACGGUGACAGUGGAGAAUGACGAGAGGCGAGAGAUAGUGGCAGAUUGUUCGAAGACGUUGAAAGUGGAGAAUGUCGAGCGGUGAGAGACGGUUCUAGUUCGUUAAGACGGUGAGAUGAGAGGGUACUGAUACUGAGAGAGACGGUGGGGUUUCUCGGUGUUUUAUGUCUUUACUGUAUUUUUA
RNAcentral lists this long non-coding RNA (1760 nucleotides) under Trifolium pratense (red clover). RNAcentral describes it as "long non-coding RNA (TPRA_LNC013954)". Lineage: Eukaryota; Viridiplantae; Streptophyta; Magnoliopsida; Fabales; Fabaceae. The record is from RNAcentral.